Molecule: transfer RNA, 94 nt
Filed under: Bacteroides intestinalis
Lineage: Bacteria; Pseudomonadati; Bacteroidota; Bacteroidia; Bacteroidales; Bacteroidaceae
Also listed under: 2 other names
Description: tRNA-Asn(gtt)
Source: RNAcentral
CCCGUUCGAGAUUCAGGCGGAAUUCUGCGAGGCGGUUGUUCUCGCGGGGCUGGCGGAUGGUUCCCGUCUGGCUGUUCCAAUCCUCCGGACGGCA